UCGGUGCGCCGCAGUGCCCCUUCCUCCUCCUCCUCGGCGUGGCGCGGCGGCAAUGCCUCCGCCGGCCACGGGGACACGGUGCGCGCAAGGGUGGCAGGGGCAGCCGCGCCGGUGACCGAGGCGACGGCGGCCGAGGGAUGCGGCAGGCAGGAGGCCCCCGCCGCACCGACGGGAUCUCGACCUGUCCCUGAACCCUACCAGCGAGUCGCCUCCCUCGCCAUGGCGAAGCCCUCACCACCGCCGCCGCCCAACUCCGGCCUCCGCAUCCUCCUCGCCAAGGACCGCACGGCCACUUCCUCUCCCUCCGCGCCCGCGGUCGUCUCUAGCCACGCCGACCGCGACCGCAUAAUCGUGAGCCCCCUCCCUCCCCC
This 371-nucleotide long non-coding RNA is filed under the name Hordeum vulgare. RNAcentral's name for it is "long non-coding RNA (HVUL_LNC014818)". Lineage: Eukaryota; Viridiplantae; Streptophyta; Magnoliopsida; Poales; Poaceae. The record is from RNAcentral.